AAACGAUGGUAGCUUGCUACCAGGCGUCGAGCGGCGGACGGGUGAGUAACGCGUGAGAAUCUGCCCAUUUGUGGGGGAUAACUCGGGGAAACUCGAGCUAAUACCGCAUAAUCCCUACGGGGGAAAGCAGGGGACCUUCGGGCCUUGUGCAGAUGGAUGAGCUCGCGUCGGAUUAGCUUGUUGGUGAGGUAAAGGCUCACCAAGGCGACGAUCCGUAGCUGGUCUGAGAGGAUGAUCAGCCACACCGGGACUGAGACACGGCCCGGACUCCUACGGGAGGCAGCAGUGGGGAAUCUUAGACAAUGGGCGCAAGCCUGAUCUAGCCAUGCCGCGUGAGUGAUGAAGGCCUUAGGGUCGUAAAACUCUUUCGCCAGGGAUGAUAAUGACAGUACCUGGUAAAGAAGCCCCGGCUAACUCCGUGCCAGCAGCCGCGGUAAUACGGAGGGGGCUAGCGUUGUUCGGAAUUACUGGGCGUAAAGCGCGCGUAGGCGGACUAUUAAGUCAGGGGUGAAAUCCCGGGGCUCAACCCCGGAACUGCCCUUGAUACUGGUAGUCUUGAGUUCGAGAGAGGUGAGUGGAAUUCCGAGUAUAGAGGUGAAAUUCGUAGAUAUUCGGAGGAACACCAGUGGCGAAGGCGGCUCACUGGCUCGAUACUGACGCUGAG
RNAcentral lists this ribosomal RNA (664 nucleotides) under uncultured bacterium. RNAcentral's name for it is "bacterial SSU rRNA". It matches the Rfam family "Bacterial small subunit ribosomal RNA", at positions 70 to 750 of the family's 1533-position model. The record is from RNAcentral.